GGGUCAGUAGGCUGGUCGUGCCACCGGUACGUACUGGUCUCACUGAUUCCUCCUUCCUGAAGAACCGUAAUGCCAUUAAUUUGGUGUUGCGGGGAAACAGGACUGUUACUUUGAAAAAAUUGGAGUGUUCAAAGCAAGCUAGCGCUUGAAUACAUUAGCAUGGAAUAAUGAAAUAGGACGAUCGAUCCUAUUUUGUUGGUUUCUAGGAUUGACGUA
This 216-nucleotide ribosomal RNA is filed under the name Glomeromycotina sp. Its description in RNAcentral is "partial small subunit ribosomal RNA". The stretch from base 40 to 216 matches the Rfam family "Eukaryotic small subunit ribosomal RNA", at positions 686 to 864 of the family's 1831-position model. The record is from RNAcentral. Lineage: Eukaryota; Fungi; Glomeromycota.